RNAcentral lists this ribosomal RNA (1331 nucleotides) under metagenome. RNAcentral describes it as "bacterial SSU rRNA". It matches the Rfam family "Bacterial small subunit ribosomal RNA". The record is from RNAcentral.
UGGAUAGGAAUCUCCCCAAUGGCUCGGAAUACCUCAUCGAAAGAUGAGCUAAUACCGGAUGACGCCGCAAGGCAAAAGCGCUUAACCGCGCGCCGAUGGAUGAGCCUAUCUCCCAUCAGGCUGUUGGUAGGGUAAUGGCCUACCAAACCUAUGACGGGUACCCGCCCUGAGAGGGGAAACGGGCAGAAUGGGACUGAGACACGGCCCAUACACCUACGGGUGGCAGCAACAGGGAAUCGUACGCAAUGGACGAAAGUCUGACGUCGCAAUGCCGCGUGGAGGAUGAAGGCCCUCGGGUCGUAAACUCCUUUUUACGGUAAUAGAGAUAUUACCGAGAAUAAGCACCUGCUAACUCUGUGCCAGCAGCCGCGGUAAUACAGAGGGUGCAAGCGUUAUCCGGAUUUAUUGGGCGUAAAGCGUUUCGUAGGCGAUUUGGCAAGUUAUUUUUCAAAUACCACGGCUUAACCGGGGGAAGGGAGAUAAUACUACCAGAUUUGAUUUUUGGUGGGGCAUCUGGAACUGAUGGUGUAGUAGUGAAAUACGUUGAUAUCAUCAGGAACUCCAAGGGCGAAGGCAGGAUGCUAAUCAAUUAAUGACGCUGAGGAACGACAGCUAGGGGAGCGAAAGGGAUUAGAGACCCCUGUAGUCCUAGCCGUAAACUUUGCUCGCUAGGGGUUGGGCCGUAAGGCUUGGCCCCGUAAGCUAACGCGUUAAGCGAGCCGCCUGGGGAGUACGGCCGCAAGGCUAAAACUCAAAGGAAUUGACGGGGACCUGCACAAUCAGUGGAGCAUGUGGUUUAAUUCGAGACGAAACGAAGAACCUUACCCAGCCUUGACAUGAUACCGUUUAUGCACUCAGAAAUGAGAGCAAAUCUUUAGAAAUAUCGAUGGUACCACAGGUGUUGCAUGGCCGUCGUAAGCUCGUGCCGUAGGGUGUUCCCUUCAGUGGGGUAAUGAGCGCAACCCUUGUCCUGAGUUGAAUAUUCUCAGGAGACUACCUAAAUUUAUUUUAGGUGGAAGUGAGGACGACGUCAGGUCAGCAUGGCCCUUAUAGCUGGGGCUACACACAUGCUACAAUGGAGCCGACAGAGGGUUUGCCAAGCCGUAAGGCGGAGCUAAUCCCAAAAACGGCUUCUCAGUGGGGAUUGAGGGCUGCAACUUGCCCUCAUGAACGCGGAAUUGAUAGUAAUCGCAAAUCAGCUACGUUGCGGUGAAUACGUUCUCGGGUCUUGUACACACCGCCCGUCAAGUGAGUAAAGUUGGAAAUACCUUAAAUCCGAUUGUAUCGGAUCAAGGUAGAGCCAGCGAUAAGCACUAAGUCGUAACAAGGUA